GAUGAACGCUGGCGGCGUGCCUAACACAUGCAAGUCGAACGGGAUGCGUAUCGGAAAGCUUCGGCCGGAAGAUACGUUAUCUAGUGGCGGACGGGUGAGUAACACGUGGGUAACCUGCCUUAUGGAGGGGGAUAACAGGGAGAAAUCACUGCUAAUACCGCAUAAGCACACAGUACCGCAUGGUACAGGGUGAAAAGAUUUAUCACCAUAAGAUGGACCCGCGUCUGAUUAGCCAGUUGGCAGGGUAAAAGCCUACCAAAGCAACGAUCAGUAGCCGAUCUGAGAGGAUGACCGGCCACAUUGGGACUGAGACACGGCCCAAACUCCUACGGGAGGCAGCAGUGGGGAAUAUUGCACAAUGGGGGAAACCCUGAUGCAGCGACGCCGCGUGAGUGAAGAAGUAUUUCGGUAUGUAAAGCUCUAUCAGCAGGGAAGAUAAUGACAGUACCUGACUAAGAAGCCCCGGCUAACUACGUGCCAGCAGCCGCGGUAAUACGUAGGGGGCAAGCGUUAUCCGGAUUUACUGGGUGUAAAGGGAGCGUAGACGGAGUGGCAAGUCUGAAGUGAAAACCCUGGGCUUAACCUAGGGACUGCUUUGGAAACUGUUAAUCUAGAGUGUUGGAGAGGUAAGUGGAAUUCCUGGUGUAGCGGUGAAAUGCGUAGAUAUCAGGAAGAACACCGGAGGCGAAGGCGGCUUACUGGACAAUAACUGACGUUGAGGCUCGAAAGCGUGGGGAUCAAACAGG
This 746-nucleotide ribosomal RNA is filed under the name uncultured Oribacterium sp. RNAcentral describes it as "bacterial SSU rRNA". It matches the Rfam family "Bacterial small subunit ribosomal RNA", at positions 28 to 776 of the family's 1533-position model. The record is from RNAcentral. Lineage: Bacteria; Bacillati; Bacillota; Clostridia; Lachnospirales; Lachnospiraceae.